Molecule: long non-coding RNA, 1303 nt
Organism: Pan troglodytes (chimpanzee)
Lineage: Eukaryota; Metazoa; Chordata; Mammalia; Primates; Hominidae
Exons: 6
Source: RefSeq, a predicted model, not a curated record
AGGUCUCUAACAGCGAAUCCAAGACUGGGAUUUUUUUAAAGCUCUCUCCCCUUCCCCACCUUGAGUGUACAAUGGAGAGUGCUAGUGUGGUGUCACAUGGUGCAACAUGGCUCAGUGUUGUGUGAAACUAAGAGUCCCUGGUUUCUAGUACGGUGCCUGACAGAUAGAUGACUUUCUUUAUAUGUUGCUGAAGAAAGGCAGAGAGGAAGAAAGGAAGAGAGGAUAAAGGGAGGAAUAAACUUGAUAUAAGCAUCUUUGCAUAAUUAACAACUGGGUCAAAUUUUCUUCAUUUCAUUGAGAUUCUUGAUACAAGCCUCUGCUGAUGAAUUGGAUUCCAAAAAGCAGAUAUUGUUGUCCAGGCCACACCAUAUGGGACUUACCACUCCCAGUUGCUAACAUCUGCACGUAUUUGCCUGGAGGUCUCCUCUGGUCACCAGAGCCUACUCUGCCUGGGCCACAUGACAAGGUGAUGUGCUGAGGAACAAAAGCCCCCAGGAGUGUCCCUCAAGCAGUGUUGGACUGGAGUUGAGCAGGUCAUGAUCCACAUGAAAAACUGAGGGAAGACAUCCAGGACCUGCUGGAGAGCACAUGGAAAGAAGUUGGGGCACAGAAAAGGAAAGCAGCAAGAGUCGGGCAGAGAUUGAUCCCCAAGGAACUUGGAAUACCACGGGAAAGGUUGAUCGUCCUCGAAGAGAGAGAGAAACAAAAGAAAAAUGAAAAAAGGAAAGAAAUUUUCUCCACAAAGACUCAGAAAAGCUACAAUCCUAAGAAGUCAAAACUAUAAUGGGCUUGAGUUGAAGACUCCAAGGGUCUUUACAGUUAUGUGACCUGUCCAAGGUUACACAGCUCACCUUUUCAUUUUGCACUGGGCCCAAGUUAUGUAGCCAGCCUGCUUAGAGAUCUCUACUUACCCCAGUUUUCUGAUUUAUAAAACAAAGAUAAUAAUAAUAUUGUUAAAUUAAAUGAAGCCUAAAGCUGCCUCCCUAUGUAUUUUUAAUUUGGCCUAAAGGUUUCUUCGUACAGAGUGAACUAUAACCUGACUAGAUGUGUGAUCUACUCUUGUGCCAAUCAUCAAGUUUUAACCAAUCGAAGGGAGCCAACUGCUUAAACCAUGUUCAAAUAAGGCAAAUGUCCAGCUGUAACCACUUCAGCUGUUUCUGUGCCUCACUUCUGUCUUCUAUACAUCACUUUCCUUUUUCUAUCCAUAAUGUUUUUUGAUCAUGCAGCAGCAUGAAGUUGAUCUGAACCUACUUUGGUUUGGGAGACUGCCCAAUUCGUGAAUCAAUUAAACUGUUAAAUUUAA